GAUAAACGCUGGCGGCGUGCUUAACACAUGCAAGUCGAACGAAGUUUUUCUUUCGGGAGGAACUUAGUGGCGGACGGGUGAGUAACGCGUGGGUAACCUGCACUGUACAGGGGGACAACAGCUGGAAACGGCUGCUAAUACCGCAUACGCCCUUAGCACUGCAUGGUGCAUAGGGAAAAGGAGCAAUCCGGUACAGGAUGGACCCUCGUCUGAUUAGCCCGUUGGCAGGGUAACGGCCUACCAAAGCGACGAUCAGUAGCCGAUCUGAGAGGAUGUACGGCCACAUUGGGGCUGAGACACGGCCCAGACUCCUACGGGAAGCAGGAGUGGGUAAUAUUGCAAAAUGGAGGAAACUCUGAUGCAGCGACGCCGCGUGAGUGAAGAAGUAUUUCGGUAUGUAAAGCUCUAUCAGCAGGAAAGAAAAUGACGGUACCUGACUAAGAAGCACCGGCUAAAUACGUG
Molecule: ribosomal RNA, 462 nt
Filed under: uncultured bacterium
Lineage: Bacteria
Description: partial 16S ribosomal RNA
Rfam family: Bacterial small subunit ribosomal RNA
Source: RNAcentral